UACGAAGGGGGCUAGCGUUGCUCGGAAUCACUGGGCGUAAAGGGUGCGUAGGCGGGUCUUUAAGUCCGGGGUGAAAUCCUGGAGCUCAACUCCAGAACUGCCUUUGAUACUGAGGAUCUUGAGUUCGGGAGAGGUGAGUGGAACUGCGAGUGUAGAGGUGAAAUUCGUAGAUAUUCGCAAGAACACCAGUGGCGAAGGCGGCUCACUGGCCCGAUACUGACGCUGAGGCACGAAAGCGUGGGAAGCAAACAGG
Molecule: ribosomal RNA, 253 nt
Filed under: uncultured bacterium
Lineage: Bacteria
Description: partial 16S ribosomal RNA
Rfam family: Bacterial small subunit ribosomal RNA
Source: RNAcentral